Molecule: ribosomal RNA, 477 nt
Filed under: uncultured bacterium
Lineage: Bacteria
Description: bacterial SSU rRNA
Rfam family: Bacterial small subunit ribosomal RNA
Source: RNAcentral
UUCGCAAUGCCCGAAAGGGUGACGAAGCGACGCCGCGUGUGAGAAGAAGGCCUUCGGGUUGUAAACCACUGUCGGGAGUUAAGAAAUGCAAGAAUGUUAAUAGCGUUUUUGCUUGACUAAGGCUCCGGAGGAAGCCACGGCUAACUCUGUGCCAGCAGCCGCGGUAAUACAGAGGCGGCAAGCGUUGUUCGGAAUUAUUGGGCGUAAAGAGCACGUAGGCGGCUAUAUAAGUCGGUUGUGAAAGCCUUCCGCUCAACGGGAGAACAGCAUCCGAUACUGUAUGGCUUGAGUGUGGGAGGGGAGAGCGGAACUUCUGGUGGAGCGGUGAAAUGCGUAGAUAUCAGAAGGAACGCCGGCGGCGAAAGCGGCUCUCUGGCCCAUAACUGACGCUGAGUGUGCGAAAGCUAGGGGAGCAAACGGGAUUAGAUACCCCGGUAGUCCUAGCCGUAAACGAUGGGCACUAAGUAGAGGGGUUUU